CGGCGUGCCUAAUACAUGCAAGUCGAACGCAUUGUGGUUGAAAUGAUAUGAAGAACUUGUUCAGAUUUGAUUUUCAACAUUGCAAUGAGUGGCGAACGGGUGAGUAACACGUGGGAAACCUACCUCUUAGCAGGGGAUAACAUUUGGAAACAAAUGCUAAUACCGUAUAAUAAUUAAAACCGCAUGGUUUUAGUUUAAAAGAUGGUCUUGCUAUCACUAAGAGAUGGUCCCGCGGUGUAUUAGUUAGUUGGUGAGGUAAUGGCUCACCAAGACAAUGAUACAUAGCCGAGUUGAGAGACUGACCGGCCACAAUGGGACUGAGACACGGCCCAUACUCCUACGGAGGCAGCAGUAGGGAAUCUUCCACAAUGGACGAAAGUCUGAUGGAGCAACGCCGCGUGUGUGAUGAAGGGUUUCGGCUCGUAAAACACUGUUGUAAGAGAAGAAUGACAUUGAGAGUAACUGUUCAAUGUGUGACGGUAUCUUACCAGAAAGGAACGGCUAAAUACGUG
Molecule: ribosomal RNA, 512 nt
Filed under: uncultured bacterium
Lineage: Bacteria
Description: bacterial SSU rRNA
Rfam family: Bacterial small subunit ribosomal RNA
Source: RNAcentral